RNAcentral lists this ribosomal RNA (889 nucleotides) under uncultured Lactococcus sp. RNAcentral describes it as "bacterial SSU rRNA". It matches the Rfam family "Bacterial small subunit ribosomal RNA", at positions 44 to 916 of the family's 1533-position model. The record is from RNAcentral. Lineage: Bacteria; Bacillati; Bacillota; Bacilli; Lactobacillales; Streptococcaceae.
GUGCCUAAUACAUGCAAGUUGAGCGCUGAAGGUUGGUACUUGUACCGACUGGAUGAGCAGCGAACGGGUGAGUAACGCGUGGGGAAUCUGCCUUUGAGCGGGGGACAACAUUUGGAAACGAAUGCUAAUACCGCAUAACAACUUUAAACACAAGUCUUAAGUUUGAAAGAUGCAAUUGCAUCACUCAGAGAUGAUCCCGCGUUGUAUUAGCUAGUUGGUGAGGUAAAGGCUCACCAAGGCGAUGAUACAUAGCCGACCUGAGAGGGUGAUCGGCCACAUUGGGACUGAGACACGGCCCAAACUCCUACGGGAGGCAGCAGUAGGGAAUCUUCGGCAAUGGACGAAAGUCUGACCGAGCAACGCCGCGUGAGUGAAGAAGGUUUUCGGAUCGUAAAACUCUGUUGGUAGAGAAGAACGUUGGUGAGAGUGGAAAGCUCAUCAAGUGACGGUAACUACCCAGAAAGGGACGGCUAACUACGUGCCAGCAGCCGCGGUAAUACGUAGGUCCCGAGCGUUGUCCGGAUUUAUUGGGCGUAAAGCGAGCGCAGGUGGUUUAUUAAGUCUGGUGUAAAAGGCAGUGGCUCAACCAUUGUAUGCAUUGGAAACUGGUAGACUUGAGUGCAGGAGAGGAGAGUGGAAUUCCAUGUGUAGCGGUGAAAUGCGUAGAUAUAUGGAGGAACACCGGUGGCGAAAGCGGCUCUCUGGCCUGUAACUGACACUGAGGCUCGAAAGCGUGGGGAGCAAACAGGAUUAGAUACCCUGGUAGUCCACGCCGUAAACGAUGAGUGCUAGAUGUAGGGAGCUAUAAGUUCUCUGUAUCGCAGCUAACGCAAUAAGCACUCCGCCUGGGGAGUACGACCGCAAGGUUGAAACUCAAAGGAAUUGACGG